ACACGACUACAUUAGAUACCCCCGUAGUCCCAGCCCUAAACGAUGCGCGUUAGGUGUAUCGGUGACCACGAGUCACCGAGGUGCCGAAGGGAAACCGUGAAACGUGCCGCCUGGGAAGUACGGUCGCAAGGCUGAAACUUAAAGGAAUUGGCGGGGGAGCACCGCAACGGGAGGAGCGUGCGGUUCAAUUGGAUUCAACGCCGGACAACUCACCAGGAGCGACGGUUACAUGAAGGCCAGGCUGAUGACCUUGCCUGAUUUUCCG
Molecule: ribosomal RNA, 265 nt
Filed under: uncultured archaeon
Lineage: Archaea
Description: partial 16S ribosomal RNA
Rfam family: Archaeal small subunit ribosomal RNA
Source: RNAcentral